UUGGGUUAAGUCCCGCAACGAGCGCAACCCUCGACCUUAGUUGCCAGCAUUCAGUUGGGCACUCUAAGGUGACUGCCGGCUAAAAGUCGGAGGAAGGUGGGGAUGACGUCAAAUCAUCAUGCCCCUUAUGACCUGGGCUACACACGUGCUACAAUGGGCGGUACAAAGGGUCGCGAACCCGCGAGGGGGAGCCAAUCCCAAAAAGCCGCUCUCAGUUCGGAUUGCAGGCUGCAACUCGCCUGCAUGAAGCCGGAAUCGCUAGUAAUCGCGGAUCAGCAUGCCGCGGUGAAUACGUUCCCGGGCCUU
RNAcentral lists this ribosomal RNA (306 nucleotides) under uncultured Anoxybacillus sp. RNAcentral's name for it is "bacterial SSU rRNA". It matches the Rfam family "Bacterial small subunit ribosomal RNA", at positions 1075 to 1382 of the family's 1533-position model. The record is from RNAcentral. Lineage: Bacteria; Bacillati; Bacillota; Bacilli; Caryophanales; Anoxybacillaceae.